AUUGAACGCUGGCGGCAUGCUUUACACAUGCAAGUCGAACGGCAGCGCGGGGCAACCUGGCGGCGAGUGGCGAACGGGUGAGUAAUAUAUCGGAAUCUGCCCAUUUGUGGGGGAUAACCUCGGGAAACCGGGACUAAUACCGCAUACGACCUUCGGGUGAAAGCAGGGGAUCUUCGGACCUUGCGCAGAUGGAUGAGCCGAUGCCGGAUUAGCUAGUUGGCGGGGUAAAGGCACACCAAGGCGACGAUCCGUAGCUGGUCUGAGAGGAUGAUCAGCAACACUGGGACUGAGACACGGCCCAGACUCCUACGGGAGGCAGCAGUGGGGAAUAUUGGACAAUGGGCGAAAGCCUGAUCCAGCCAUGCCGCGUGGGUGAAGAAGGCCUUCGGGUUGUAAAGCCCUUUUGUUGGGAAAGAAAACUUUCCGGUUAAUACCCGGAGAGAAUGACGGUACCCAAAGAAUAAGCACCGGCUAACUUCGUGCCAGCCGCCGCCGUAA
This 498-nucleotide ribosomal RNA is filed under the name uncultured bacterium. Its description in RNAcentral is "partial 16S ribosomal RNA". It matches the Rfam family "Bacterial small subunit ribosomal RNA", at positions 30 to 523 of the family's 1533-position model. The record is from RNAcentral.